RNAcentral lists this microRNA precursor (207 nucleotides) under Oryza brachyantha (malo sina). RNAcentral describes it as "MIR812 microRNA precursor family". It matches the Rfam family "MIR812 microRNA precursor family". Lineage: Eukaryota; Viridiplantae; Streptophyta; Magnoliopsida; Poales; Poaceae. The record is from Rfam by way of RNAcentral.
AAUAACAUCAUUUUUCAGUUUUUUAUACAUUGUUUUAACUUUUCGUCUUAUUUAAAAUUUUUUGUGAUUAAUAUUUUUAUUCUUACUAGACGAUAAAACAUGAAUUGUACUUUAUGCGUGACUAAUUUUUUUAAGUUUUUAUAUAAAUUUUUCAAAUAAGACGAACGGUCAAACGUUGGGUACGGAAAAACGAAAAAUGGAGUUAUU